This 291-nucleotide ribosomal RNA is filed under the name uncultured bacterium. RNAcentral's name for it is "partial 16S ribosomal RNA". It matches the Rfam family "Bacterial small subunit ribosomal RNA", at positions 773 to 1060 of the family's 1533-position model. The record is from RNAcentral.
GUGGAUUAGAUACCCUGGUAGUCCACGCCCUAAACGAUGUCAACUAGUUGUUCGGUGAGGAGACUCAUUGAGUAACGCAGCUAACGCGUGAAGUUGACCGCCUGGGGAGUACGGCCGCAAGGUUAAAACUCAAAGGAAUUGACGGGGACCCGCACAAGCGGUGGAUGAUGUGGAUUAAUUCGAUGCAACGCGAAAAACCUUACCUACCCUUGACAUGCCAGGAACUUGCCAGAGAUGGCUUGGUGCCCGAAAGGGAGCCUGGACACAGGUGCUGCACGGCCGUCGCCAACU